RNAcentral lists this ribosomal RNA (774 nucleotides) under uncultured bacterium. Its description in RNAcentral is "bacterial SSU rRNA". It matches the Rfam family "Bacterial small subunit ribosomal RNA", at positions 8 to 796 of the family's 1533-position model. The record is from RNAcentral.
AGAGUUUGAUCCUGGCUCAGGACGAACGCUGGCGGCGUGCUUAACACAUGCAAGUCGAGCGAGGCCCUUCCUUCGGGAAGGUGUCCUAGCGGCGAACGGGUGAGUAACACGUGGGCAACCUGCCCCCAUCUCUGGGAUAACCCCGGGAAACCGGAGCUAAUACCGGAUACGAAGCCGAGUGGCAUCACUCAACUUGGAAAGAACUUCGGAUGGGGAUGGGCCCGCGGCCUAUCAGCUUGUUGGUGAGGUAACGGCCCACCAAGGCGACGACGGGUAGCCGGCCUGAGAGGGCGACCGGCCACACUGGGACUGAGACACGGCCCAGACUCCUACGGGAGGCAGCAGUGGGGAAUAUUGCGCAAUGGGCGAAAGCCUGACGCAGCGACGCCGCGUGAGGGAUGACGGCCUUCGGGUUGUAAACCUCUUUCAGCAGGGACGAAGCGCAAGUGACGGUACCUGCAGAAGAAGGACCGGCCAACUACGUGCCAGCAGCCGCGGUAAUACGUAGGGUCCGAGCGUUGUCCGGAAUUAUUGGGCGUAAAGAGCUCGUAGGCGGUCUGUUGCGUCGGCUGUGAAAACCCGGGGCUCAACUCCGGGCCUGCAGUCGAUACGGGCAGACUAGAGUUCGGUAGGGGAGACUGGAAUUCCUGGUGUAGCGGUGAAAUGCGCAGAUAUCAGGAGGAACACCGGUGGCGAAGGCGGGUCUCUGGGCCGAAACUGACGCUGAGGAGCGAAAGCGUGGGGAGCGAACAGGAUUAGAUACCCUAGUAGUCC